AAUGAACGUUGGCGGCGUGGAUUAGGCAUGCAAGUCGAGCGAGAAGGUUCCCUUCGGGGAGCUGGACAGCGGCAAACGGGGUAGUAAGGCGUAGGUUACGUGCCCUCAGGACCGGGAUAGCCACGGGAAACUGUGGGUAAUACCGGAUGAUCUCUACGGAGCAAAUGGUGAGAUUCCGCCUGGGGAGCGGCUUACGUGGUAUUAGCUAGUUGGUGAGGUAACGGCUCACCAAGGCAACGAUGCCUAGGGGGUGUGAGAGCAUGGCCCCCACACUGGGACUGAGACACUGCCCAGACACCUACGGGUGCUGCAGUCGAGAAUCUUCGGCAAUGGACGCAAGUCUGACCGAGCGACGCCGCGUGCGGGAUGAAGGCCCUUGGGUUGUAAACCGCUGUCAGAGGGGAUGAAAUCAUCGAGGCUAUCCCUUGAUGUUGAC
This 436-nucleotide ribosomal RNA is filed under the name uncultured bacterium. RNAcentral's name for it is "bacterial SSU rRNA". It matches the Rfam family "Bacterial small subunit ribosomal RNA", at positions 29 to 473 of the family's 1533-position model. The record is from RNAcentral.